GUAGUCCACGCCGUAAACGAUGGCCACUCGGCCUUUGGGGGCGGAAUCUCCGUCCGUGGGGGCCUUAGCUAACGCGGGAAGUGGCCCGCCUGGGAACUACGAGCGCAAGCUUAAAACUCAAAGGAAUUGACGGGGCCCGCACAAGCGGUGGAGCAUGUGGUUCAAUUCGACGCAACGCGAAGAACCUUACCUGGGCUCGAACGGCUCACGAACGUCCUUGGAAACAGGGAUUUCCCGCAAGGGACGGGAGUCGAGGUGCUGCAUGGCUGUCGUCAGCCCGUGCCGUGGGGGUGUUGGGUUAAG
Molecule: ribosomal RNA, 303 nt
Filed under: uncultured bacterium
Lineage: Bacteria
Description: bacterial SSU rRNA
Rfam family: Bacterial small subunit ribosomal RNA
Source: RNAcentral